GACGAACGCUGGCGGCGUGCUUAACACAUGCAAGUCGAGCGGUAAGGCCCUUCGGGGUACACGAGCGGCGAACGGGUGAGUAACACGUGGGUGGACCUGCCUCUAGCUCUGGGAUAAGCCUGGGAAACUGGGUCUAAUACCGGAUAUGACUCCACGGCGCAUGUUGUGGGGUGGAAAGCCUUGUGUGGCUAGAGAUGGGCCCGCGGCCUAUCAGCUUGUUGGUGGGGUGAUGGCCUACCAAGGCGACGACGGGUAGCCGGCCUGAGAGGCGACCGGCCACACUGGGACUGAGACACGGCCCAGAC
This 305-nucleotide ribosomal RNA is filed under the name uncultured bacterium. RNAcentral's name for it is "bacterial SSU rRNA". It matches the Rfam family "Bacterial small subunit ribosomal RNA", at positions 28 to 336 of the family's 1533-position model. The record is from RNAcentral.